Molecule: long non-coding RNA, 225 nt
Organism: Ipomoea triloba (trilobed morning glory)
Lineage: Eukaryota; Viridiplantae; Streptophyta; Magnoliopsida; Solanales; Convolvulaceae
Exons: 2
Source: RefSeq, a predicted model, not a curated record
UUUUGUGCAGACCAAUUGCCAACAUCAUGGUGUAGAAUUUGAAGCUGCCAAAUCAGAAGAGAGAGCUGCACGUAAGUUGGUUAGGUCAAACCGUGCUGAAAUUGAGCAUCUUCAAACUGCAAUUAAUAGAGUGAAGAAUGCAAUUUCUGUCGAGGAGAUAGAUGCAAGGAUAUGUAGCAUGGAACACAUGAUAGAGCAUGAAACUCUUCCUUUAAAGGAGGAAAA